RNAcentral lists this small RNA (39 nucleotides) under Arabidopsis thaliana (thale cress). RNAcentral describes it as "ATSL140700". Lineage: Eukaryota; Viridiplantae; Streptophyta; Magnoliopsida; Brassicales; Brassicaceae. The record is from RNAcentral.
UCUUUUUCUUCUUCUUCUUCUUCUCCUCCUUCAUCAUCA